GUAGGUGGCAAGCGUUGUCCGGAAUUAUUGGGCGUAAAGCGCGCGCAGGCGGUCCUUUAAGUCUGAUGUGAAAGCCCACGGCUCAACCGUGGAGGGUCAUUGGAAACUGGGGGACUUGAGUACAGAAGAGGAAAGCGGAAUUCCAAGUGUAGCGGUGAAAUGCGCAGAGAUUUGGAGGAACACCAGUGGCGAAGGCGGCUUUCUGGUCUGUAACUGACGCUGAGGCGCGAAAGCGUGGGGAGCAAACAGGGAUUAGAUACCCUGGUAGUCCACGCCGUAAACGAUGAGUGCUAAGUGUUAGGGGGUUUCCGCCCCCUUAGUGCUGCAGCUAACGCAUUAAGCACUCCGCCUGGGGAGUACGGCCGCAAGGCUG
RNAcentral lists this ribosomal RNA (373 nucleotides) under uncultured organism. Its description in RNAcentral is "partial 16S ribosomal RNA". It matches the Rfam family "Bacterial small subunit ribosomal RNA", at positions 527 to 896 of the family's 1533-position model. The record is from RNAcentral.